RNAcentral lists this ribosomal RNA (108 nucleotides) under Candidatus Yonathbacteria bacterium RIFCSPHIGHO2_01_FULL_51_10. Lineage: Bacteria; Candidatus Yonathiibacteriota. The record is from RNAcentral.
UCUGGUGACUCGUCAGAGGGGUCACACCUCUUCCCAUUCCGAACAGAGAAGUUAAGUCCUCUAGAGGCGAUGAUACUCCAACAGGGGGAAAGUAGCUCGUCGCCAGAA